AUUGAACGCUGGCGGCAUGCCUUACACAUGCAAGUCGAACGGCAGCACGGGAGCAAUCCUGGUGGCGAGUGGCGAACGGGUGAGUAAUAUAUCGGAACGUGCCCGGUCGUGGGGAUAACGUAGCGAAAGCUACGCUAAUACCGCAUACGAUCUACGGAUGAAAGCGGGGGAUCGCAAGACCUCGCGCGAUUGGAGCGGCCGAUAUCAGAUUAGGUAGUUGGUGAGGUAAAGGCUCACCAAGAAACCGCGAUCUGUAGCUGGUCUGAGAGGACGACCAGCCACACUGGGACUGAGACACGGCCCAGACUCCUACGGGAGGCAGCAGUGGGAAUUUGGACAAUGGGCGCAGGCCUGAUCCAGCAAUGCCGCGUGCAGGAUGAAGG
RNAcentral lists this ribosomal RNA (383 nucleotides) under uncultured bacterium. RNAcentral's name for it is "bacterial SSU rRNA". It matches the Rfam family "Bacterial small subunit ribosomal RNA", at positions 29 to 414 of the family's 1533-position model. The record is from RNAcentral.